RNAcentral lists this ribosomal RNA (193 nucleotides) under uncultured bacterium. Its description in RNAcentral is "partial 16S ribosomal RNA". It matches the Rfam family "Bacterial small subunit ribosomal RNA", at positions 1307 to 1500 of the family's 1533-position model. The record is from RNAcentral.
GCAACUCGACACAUGAAGCUGGAAUCGCUAGUAAUCGCAGAUCAGAAUGCUGCGGUGAAUACGUUCCCGGGUCUUGUACACACCGCCCGUCACACCAUGGGAGUCGGAUAUGCCCGAAGCCAGUGACCCAACCGUAAGGAGGGAGCUGUCGAAGGUAGAGCCGAUAACUGGGGUGAAGUCGUAACAAGGUAUC